UGUAUCAACAGAAGAUGGUGACAGUGUCU
This 29-nucleotide non-coding RNA is filed under the name Mus musculus (house mouse). Lineage: Eukaryota; Metazoa; Chordata; Mammalia; Rodentia; Muridae. The record is from RNAcentral.